This 338-nucleotide ribosomal RNA is filed under the name uncultured bacterium. Its description in RNAcentral is "bacterial SSU rRNA". It matches the Rfam family "Bacterial small subunit ribosomal RNA", at positions 568 to 899 of the family's 1533-position model. The record is from RNAcentral.
CGCGUAGGUGGUAGUGCAAGUCGUGAAGGUGGAAUCCCAGGGCUUAACCCUGGAACUGCCUUGGAAACUGCAUUACUUGAGUCAGGUGAGGGGAGGGUAGAAUUCCUGGUGUAGCGGUGAAAUGACGUAGAUAUCAGGAGGAAGGCCGGUGGCGAAGGCGGCCCUCUGGCGCUGGAACCUGACACUGAGGCGCGAAAGCGUGGGGAGCAAACAGGAUUAGAUACCCUGGUAGUCCACGCCCUAAACGGUAGGGUACUAGGUGUAGGGCUCGUAAGGGUUCUGUGCCGAAGCGAAAGCAUUAAGUACCCCGCCUGGGGAGUACGGCCGCAAGGUUGGAA